GGUCUUAACAAAUUUGAGAAGGAUUUCAAACCAAAAUCAAUCGGGAUUCAAACUUUUUGAAUGGGAGACAUCCUUUUAUUUUUUUAUCCCAUAUUGGUAAAAUAGAAAAUUUCUUUCCAUCCUAACAUCGAUAAAUAAAAAUCAAUACAUUUAUCUUAAAAUAUCUCUCUUCACUCCAUAAUUCUUAUAAAGGGUCUAUGUGACAGGC
This 208-nucleotide long non-coding RNA is filed under the name Elaeis guineensis (African oil palm). Its description in RNAcentral is "long non-coding RNA (EGUI_LNC014431)". Lineage: Eukaryota; Viridiplantae; Streptophyta; Magnoliopsida; Arecales; Arecaceae. The record is from RNAcentral.